This 326-nucleotide ribosomal RNA is filed under the name uncultured eukaryote. RNAcentral describes it as "partial 18S ribosomal RNA". It matches the Rfam family "Eukaryotic small subunit ribosomal RNA", at positions 1470 to 1796 of the family's 1831-position model. The record is from RNAcentral.
CCCUUAGAUGUCCUGGGCCGCACGCGCGUUACACUGAUGCAUUCAACGAGCUUAUAACCUUGGCCGAGAGGCCUGGGCAAUCUUGUUAACGUGCAUCGUGAUAGGGAUAGAUUAUUGAAAUUAUUAAUCUUGAACGAGGAAUUCCUAGUAAGCGCGAGUCAUCAGCUCGUGCUGAUUACGUCCCUGCCCUUUGUACACACCGCCCGUCGCUCCUACCGAUUGAGUGCUCAGGUGAAUAAUUCGGACUGCAGCAAUGUUUGGAUCCCGAACGUUGCAGCGGAAAGUUUAGUGAACCUUAUCACUUAGAGGAAGGAGAAGUCGUAACA